This 412-nucleotide long non-coding RNA is filed under the name Sitophilus oryzae (rice weevil). Its description in RNAcentral is "uncharacterized LOC115876116, transcript variant X2". Lineage: Eukaryota; Metazoa; Arthropoda; Insecta; Coleoptera; Curculionidae. The record is from RNAcentral.
GCUCAAAAUGUACGGUAUUUUCGGUUUGGUACGAUAAACUUACAGUAUUUUGAACAGAAAAAGCCACGAUUUUGUUUUAUUUUUUGGUCAACAGUACUUAUUAAUACAGUUAUUAAUACACUAAAUGUAAUUAAUUUCAUUACGAGAACCAUAUCUGAAUGCGAAGCAGUACUACACGUGGCUGGGAACUGAAUUUCGAUAUGGUGAACAGAAUGACCAGAACCCAGCUUUAUAAGAAUAAGAAAUUUACAUCUGCUCCUGUUACUUCAUCUCAAGAUGUAGAUAGAUGAUCACGAGUCCUUAGAUGAGGAUGACGACAUUAGUUUCGAUGAUUAAAUGUGUCUCUUUAGUAAUAAUUGUUUAACCGAUUUAUAAUUUUUUAUAAUAAAUUUUUCUAUUUAUAUACACAGUA